RNAcentral lists this transfer RNA (69 nucleotides) under Clupea harengus (Atlantic herring). RNAcentral's name for it is "tRNA-Met". It matches the Rfam family "tRNA". From Rfam's summary of the family: Transfer RNA (tRNA) molecules are approximately 80 nucleotides in length. The record is from RNAcentral. Lineage: Eukaryota; Metazoa; Chordata; Actinopteri; Clupeiformes; Clupeidae.
AGUAAGGUCAGCUAAGUAAGCUUUCGGGCCCAUACCCCGGACAUGUUGGUUAGAAUCCUUCCCCUACUA